GCGGAUUUAAGUUAAGUUUAAACUGUUAGUUUUCAAAACUGAUAAUUUUUGUUCGUG
Molecule: transfer RNA, 57 nt
Filed under: Dracunculus medinensis (Guinea worm)
Lineage: Eukaryota; Metazoa; Nematoda; Chromadorea; Rhabditida; Dracunculidae
Description: tRNA-Trp
Source: RNAcentral